CCUACGGGGGGCAGCAGUGAGGAAUAUUGGUCAAUGGACGAGAGUCUGAACCAGCCAAGUAGCGUGAAGGAUGACUGCCCUAUGGGUUGUAAACUUCUUUUAUAUGGGAAUAAAGUGUUCCACGUGUGGGAUUUUGUAUGUACCAUAUGAAUAAGGAUCGGCUAACUCCGUGCCAGCAGCCGCGGUAAUACGGAGGAUCCGAGCGUUAUCCGGAUUUAUUGGGUUUAAAGGGAGCGUAGGUGGGUUGUUAAGUCAGUUGUGAAAGUUUGCGGCUCAACCGUAAAAUUGCAUUUGAAACUGGCAGUCUGGAGUACAGUUGAGGUAGGCGGAAUUCGUGGUGUAGCGGUGAAAUGCUUAGAUAUCACGAAGAACUCCGAUUGCGAAGGCAGUUCACUGAACUGCAACUGACACUGAUGCUCGAAAGUGUGGGUAUCAAACAGGAUUAGAUACCCCAGUAGUC
Molecule: ribosomal RNA, 460 nt
Filed under: uncultured bacterium
Lineage: Bacteria
Description: partial 16S ribosomal RNA
Rfam family: Bacterial small subunit ribosomal RNA
Source: RNAcentral